This 464-nucleotide ribosomal RNA is filed under the name uncultured bacterium. RNAcentral's name for it is "partial 16S ribosomal RNA". It matches the Rfam family "Bacterial small subunit ribosomal RNA", at positions 338 to 795 of the family's 1533-position model. The record is from RNAcentral.
CCUACGGGAGGCAGCAGUGGGGAAUAUUGCGCAAUGGGCGAAAGCCUGACGCAGCGACGCCGCGUGAGGGAUGAAGGCCCUCGGAUCGUAAACCUCUUUCUGCAGGGAAGAACGGUCACUGUGCUAAUCAGCAGUGAAUUGACGGUACCUGCAAAGGAAGCACCGGCUAACUCCGUGCCAGCAGCCGCGGUAAUACGGAGGGUGCGAGCGUUAAUCGGAAUUAUUGGGUGUAAAGGGUGCGUAGGCGGACUGUUAAGUCAGCGGUAAAAGCCCGGGGCUCAACCCCGGCGAGCCGUUGAAACUGGCUGUCUUGAGAGGUCGAGAGGUAUGCGGAAUGCGCGGUGUAGCGGUGAAAUGCUUAGAUAUUGCGCAGAACUCCGAUUGCGAAGGCAGCAUACCGGCGGCGAUCUGACGCUGAGGCACGAAAGCGUGGGUAUCGAACAGGAUUAGAUACCCUGGUAGUC